CGUAGAAAAGAGAUCACUGGAGAUCAACCACACAUCACAAAGACGGUUCCUCGUAGGGAGCUCUGUUCCACCACAGACAGAUUAGGACAAAUUUCAGGAGAACCGUCAUCUCAGACAUUCUGGAAUCUUUCCUUUUCACAAUGGCCUGGUUCCAACACAGAGCAGCAACCAAAACCAGAAAGAAGCAUUUGCUCAGACAUUUUGGACCAUCUAAUGAAACAUGACCCAAAUGAAAGAUGAAGAGCUGCUGCUCUGCUUGGUCUGCCACACUACAUAUCAGGCGAAGAUCCAUCAGCUGUCAGGAUGUGUGAUGAAAGACCAAAAUAAUAAUAAUAAUAAU
This is a long non-coding RNA of Xiphophorus couchianus (Monterrey platyfish), 340 nucleotides long. RefSeq lists it as uncharacterized. NCBI's taxonomy places the organism in Eukaryota, Metazoa, Chordata, Actinopteri, Cyprinodontiformes, Poeciliidae. The record is from RefSeq and is a predicted model, not a curated record. The transcript is spliced from 3 exons.